Molecule: long non-coding RNA, 1450 nt
Filed under: Salvia miltiorrhiza (redroot sage)
Lineage: Eukaryota; Viridiplantae; Streptophyta; Magnoliopsida; Lamiales; Lamiaceae
Description: long non-coding RNA (SMIL_LNC010379)
Source: RNAcentral
UUAAUACACUUACUUUUUACUUCUUAAUUGAGAGGCGAUCUUGGAGGCAACUUUUUGAGUCUAUCGGAGGCGGCAGAGGUGUGUGGAUUGGCCCCCUCCGACCACCUCCUCCUCCGCCGCCUCAGUUCAGCGUCGCCUUCGAUGCACUCCACGCCUGGAUGGCCACCUUUUCAGACGACUUUCAAAGGCGUCUUCUCCGACCCAUCGAUUUCAUGGGCAUUUACCCGAUCUACCGAUCUGCCGAGCGCCAUCAGCCGAUCUGCAGCAGAUCUGCAACAGGUGCCUCUCCUCCGGCUCCGGCUCCGGCUCCAUAGCCGAUCUGCAGCAGGUGCCUCUCCAUGGCCGAUCUGCGCGUCAAAAUUUUCUCCGAUGGAGAAGGAGAUUUUUGAGCGAGAUCGUUGACCCACCAACCUUCCGCUUCCCACCCAGCAACGGCGACCCCGUCGGCCGUUGCCGUUCCCAUCGAAUCCACCCCCACCGGCCACCGAGACAGUCGCCUCCGCCGCCAACAGUCUCCACCGCCGAGCUAUUGAAUACUCUCUCCAUCGAGACCCACCCACCUUCAGCGUUCAGCGAGAUCGUUGACCCACCCAGUUCGAAGGAGCUGCUGUGAGAUCUGGGCCGCCGUCGGCCUCGAUCGCCCGCCCCGCCUCCUUCAGCCUUUUCCGCCGGCAAAGUGGUGGUGGCGAUACGCCUCGCUCACCGCUUUAACCCCAUCUUUAACCGCUUCUCUGGCGACUUCCACGCCGCGGUUUCUCUCGUGUUCUCAGGUUUAACAGCUUUCCCGGUCCGAAGCUGGGUUGAAGUUGGUUUUCCGAUUUUCUCCGGCAAUAGGAGUGGCUGUCGGUUUCCACAAACAUUUGUCCGGUGACGGCACUCCUCCCAACAAAGGCAGUCAAUGCUCCUUUGUUCAAAGCAUGCUUUUCUGUUUUUCUUCUUGGGGGUUGCGCUCUUUUUGACUAACGCACUAUCCGCUCAAGAGUGGGCGCCAGAGUUGAACAAGUGCGGUGGCUCCUUUUUUUAAAAAAAAAAACGAUCUCUUUUCGAGUUUCGUGCCCUUAGUCUGCGUUUUGUGCUCUCAAGGGAUUUUUAUCUUUUUCUUUUAUAAUAAACCUCAAUUUAAUAAUAUGAAAUGCUAAUAUUACAUUUUAAAAUAAAUGUCAUACGGAGACUCAUUUAUUGACACUUUCGAUUAACUUAAUACCCGUUCUUUGAAUGUGCCUUGGCGUUUUAAGGCGGCGUGGAAUAGGAUUUUAAAGAUGUUAGAUGCUUUCUCGCUGCAGGUUUCUCACAUCUUUAGAGAAGGAAACAAGGCGGCAGAUAUUAUGGCUAACCAACAACGUUCAGAAGGGUGGUGGCCGCACGAGAUUGAGGAGAUUAGGGCUGCGGUUCGCCUUGACAUGGCUUCGCAUAGCCAUCUGCGUAAGAAACGAUAGUUGGGACUGAUGGG